GAUGAACGCUGGCGGCGUGCUUAACACAUGCAAGUCGAACGGAAAGGCCCUGCUUUUGUGGGGUGCUCGAGUGGCGAACGGGUGAGUAACACGUGUGUAACCUGCCCUUGACUUUGGGAUAACUUCAGGAAACUGGGGCUAAUACCGGAUAGGAGCUCCUGCUGCAUGGUGGGGGUUGGAAAGUUUCGGCGGUUGGGGAUGGACUCGCAGCUUAUCAGCUUGUUGGUGGGGUAGUGGCUUACCAAGGCUUUGACGGCUAGCCGGCCUGAGAGGGUGGCCGGCGACAUUGGGACUGAGAUACGGCGCAGAAUCCUACGGGAGGCAGCAGUCGGGAAUAUUGCACAAUGGGCGGACGCGUGAUGCGGCGGCGCCGCGUGCGGGAUGACGGGCUUCGGGUUGAGAACCGCUUUCGCCUGUGACGAAGCGUGAGUGACGGUAAUGGGUAAAGAAGCACCGGCUAACUACGUG
Molecule: ribosomal RNA, 468 nt
Filed under: uncultured bacterium
Lineage: Bacteria
Description: partial 16S ribosomal RNA
Rfam family: Bacterial small subunit ribosomal RNA
Source: RNAcentral